AGCCGGAUGUCUGAUCGCGGGUCGACUACGAGUGCGACAUGAGGAAAGUCCGGGCAACGCAGAGCACCAUACUUCCUAACGGGAAGCUGCCGGUGACGGCAGAGUAGUGUGACAGAAAACUACCGCCGCACACCUGUGUGUGCGGUAAGGGUGAAAAGGCGGUGUAAGAGACCACCGGAUUCCAUGGUGACGUGGGAUGCCGCACGCCUUAUGGGUUGCAAGGCCAAGUAUACCGGCAUUUAAGGGUUGCUCGCCCAUUGCCGGGGGGUAGGCUGCUUGAGCGAGGUGGCGACACAUCGCGUAGAUAAAUGAUCAGACGGUCUGACGUGCCUGGCAUCUGAUGCCGGGAACUGCCAGACCGACAUAACCCGGCUUAUAGUCCGGCUCCU
RNAcentral lists this RNase P RNA (389 nucleotides) under human gut metagenome. RNAcentral's name for it is "Bacterial RNase P class A". It matches the Rfam family "Bacterial RNase P class A". From Rfam's summary of the family: Ribonuclease P (RNase P) is a ubiquitous endoribonuclease, found in archaea, bacteria and eukarya as well as chloroplasts and mitochondria. Its best characterised activity is the generation of mature 5'-ends of tRNAs by cleaving the 5'-leader elements of precursor-tRNAs. The record is from RNAcentral.